Molecule: ribosomal RNA, 489 nt
Filed under: Triticum aestivum (bread wheat)
Lineage: Eukaryota; Viridiplantae; Streptophyta; Magnoliopsida; Poales; Poaceae
Description: partial small subunit ribosomal RNA
Source: RNAcentral
AUGGAUAGGCAAGGCAUUUCACCUUCGGUCUACAACAACAACGACGAGUUCGAUGCCACGGAAAACAACUACGACGCCAAGAUGCAAGCUCAAAUGGAGGAGAUCAAAGCCCUCAACAAGUCCUACAAGCGAUCUUCCUCAUCUUCGAGAAGACGCUCAAGAGCACAUGCUUCCGAGCUACCAUCUAUGGCAAGAUCACAUCGGCAUCGACACCAUCACCAACAAGAACGUGAAGGUCAAGAGCUCAACACCAACAACCGCUCAACGACUUCACCAUCUCCCUUGGCAUCUUCCCAAGCGACUUCAAGGCAUCUUCGCCUAUGGACAUACGGCAUCUUCGCCAACAAGAACCUCAAGACUACGCUCAAGAGAAGCUCCCCAAGCUCAAGUCCGCGACUUCCACGAGCUACUACGACCUCGACAUCGAGCACGCGAUUCCUUUCUAUGGGACUCAAGAACCCGAGGACUAUCUCGAGUGGGAGCGUUUGA